GACGAACGCUGGCGGCGUGCCUAAUACAUGCAAGUAGAACGCUGAAGGAGGAGCUUGCUUCUCUGGAUGAGUUGCGAACGGGUGAGUAACGCGUAGGUAACCUGCCUGGUAGCGGGGGAUAACUAUUGGAAACGAUAGCUAAUACCGCAUAAUAGUAGAUGUUGCAUGACAUUUGCCUAAAAGGUGCAAUUGCAUCACUACCAGAUGGACCUGCGUUGUAUUAGCUAGUUGGUGGGGUAACGGCUCACCAAGGCGACGAUACAUAGCCGACCUGAGAGGGUGAUCGGCCACACUGGGACUGAGACACGGCCCAGACUCCUACGGGAGGCAGCAGUAGGGAAUCUUCGGCAAUGGACGGAAGUCUGACCGAGCAACGCCGCGUGAGUGAAGAAGGGUGUCGGAUCGUAAAGCUCUGUUGUAAGAGAAGAACGAGUGUGAGAGUGGAAAGUUCACACUGUGACGGUAUCUUACCAGAAAGGGACGGCUAACUACGUG
This 495-nucleotide ribosomal RNA is filed under the name uncultured bacterium. RNAcentral describes it as "partial 16S ribosomal RNA". It matches the Rfam family "Bacterial small subunit ribosomal RNA", at positions 28 to 507 of the family's 1533-position model. The record is from RNAcentral.